GACGAACGCUGGCGGCGUGCUUAACACAUGCAAGUCGAACGGAGUGGCGAACGGGUGAGUAACACGUGGGUGACCUGCCCUGCACUUCGGGAUAAGCCUGGGAAACUGGGUCUAAUACCGGAUAGUGUGGGAUGGGCCCGCGGCCAAUCCGCUUGUUGGUGGGGUAAUGGCCUACCAAGGCGGCUCCGGGUAGCCGGCCUGAGAGGGUGGACAGCCACAUGGGGACUGAGACACGGCCCAGACUGCUACAGGAGGCAGCAGUGGCGAGUAUUGCACAAUGGGCGGAAGCCUGAUGCAGCGACGCCGCGUGGGGGAUGACGGCCUUCGGGUUGUAAACUCCUUUCACCAUCGACGCGGUAGAUGGAGAAGAAGCACCGGCUAACUACGUGCCAGCAGCCGCGGUAAUUC
Molecule: ribosomal RNA, 408 nt
Filed under: uncultured bacterium
Lineage: Bacteria
Description: partial 16S ribosomal RNA
Rfam family: Bacterial small subunit ribosomal RNA
Source: RNAcentral